AAGAUUAUACUUUCAGGGAUCAUUUCUAUAGUUUGUUACUAGAGAAGUCUCUUUGAAUGUAUAGAGCCCUGGAAACCACAAGGAGGAGGCAUAGCGUUUUCUCCUGAGGGUGAAGCCAGCUCUUGGUGUUCCUUUAGUGCAAUUGCCAUUUGCCAUUGAUGAUCGUUCUCUCCCUUUGGGGGAGUAAUAGGGAGAGAACACAUUUAAA
This 208-nucleotide small nucleolar RNA is filed under the name Otolemur garnettii (small-eared galago). RNAcentral's name for it is "Small nucleolar RNA U3". It matches the Rfam family "Small nucleolar RNA U3". Rfam says of the family: Small nucleolar RNAs (snoRNAs) are involved in the processing and modification of rRNA in the nucleolus. There are two main classes of snoRNAs: the box C/D class, and the box H/ACA class. Lineage: Eukaryota; Metazoa; Chordata; Mammalia; Primates; Galagidae. The record is from Rfam by way of RNAcentral.